GAGUUUGAUCUUGGCUCAGAUUGAACGCUGGCGGCAGGCCUAACACAUGCAAGUCGAGCGGAUGAAGGGAGCUUGCUCCUGGAUUCAGCGGCGGACGGGUGAGUAAUGCCUAGGAAUCUGCCUGGUAGUGGGGAUAACGUCCGGAAACGGGCGCUAAUACCGCAUACGUCCUGAGGGAGAAAGUGGGGGAGUCUUCGGACCUCACGCUAUCAGACGAGCCUAGGUCGGAUUAGCUAGUUGGUGGGGUAAAGGCCUACCAAGGCGACGAUCCGUAACUGGUCUGAGAGGAUGAUCAGUCACACUGGAACUGAGACACGGUCCAGACUCCUACGGGAGGCAGCAGUGGGGAAUACUGGACAAUGGGCGAAAGCCUGAUCCAGCCAUGCCGCGUGUGUGAAGAAGGUCUUCGGAUUGUAAAGCACUUUAAGUUGGGAGGAAGGGCAGUAAGUUAAUACCUUGCUGUUUUGACGUUACCAACAGAAUAAGCACCGGCUAACUUCGUGCCAGCCGCCGCGGUAUG
Molecule: ribosomal RNA, 520 nt
Filed under: uncultured microorganism
Description: bacterial SSU rRNA
Rfam family: Bacterial small subunit ribosomal RNA
Source: RNAcentral